GCGACUGUAGUUCAAUGGAUAGAAUGGAGGUUUGCGGAACCUUUGAUCCCAGUUCAACUCUGGGCAGUCGCACAA
This 75-nucleotide transfer RNA is filed under the name Candidatus Roizmanbacteria bacterium CG10_big_fil_rev_8_21_14_0_10_39_6. Its description in RNAcentral is "tRNA-Arg". It matches the Rfam family "tRNA". Rfam says of the family: Transfer RNA (tRNA) molecules are approximately 80 nucleotides in length. Their secondary structure includes four short double-helical elements and three loops (D, anti-codon, and T loops). Lineage: Bacteria; Candidatus Roizmaniibacteriota. The record is from RNAcentral.